GAUGAAGAACGUAGCGAAAUGCGAUACGUAAUGUGAAUUGCAGAAUUCAGUGAAUCAUCGAAUCUUUGAACGCAUAUUGCGCUCUCUGGUAUUCCGGAGAGAAUGCUUGUUUGAGUAUCAGUAAACACCUCAACUCCCCUUUCUUUUUUUGAAAUGGGAGCUGGACUUGAGUGAUCCCAACGCUUUUCUCACCGAAAAGUGGCGGGUUACUUGAAAUGCAGGUGCAGCUGGACUUUUCUCUGAGCUAAAAGCAUAUCUAUUUAGUCUGCCUAAAAAACAGAUUAUUACCUUUGCUGCAGCUAACAUAAAGGAGAUUAGUUCUUGUGCUGACUGAUGCAGGAUUCACAGAGACAGCUUCGGCUGGCCUUUGUAAACUCGAUCUCAAAUCAAGUAAGACUACCCGCUGAACUUAAGCAUAUCAAUAAGCGGAGGA
RNAcentral lists this unclassified non-coding RNA (433 nucleotides) under soil metagenome. RNAcentral's name for it is "partial contains 5.8S ribosomal RNA, internal transcribed spacer 2, and large subunit ribosomal RNA". The stretch from base 1 to 120 matches the Rfam family "5.8S ribosomal RNA", at positions 35 to 154 of the family's 154-position model. The record is from RNAcentral.